AAUGUGAGAACAAAUCCUAUGUGAGAACAAAUCCUGACCAUGGAAGACGCACGAUCCAAUGCCUGCAACAGUAAUAUCAAAUUGUAAUUACAUCAAAUAAACAAAAUCACAGUCGACACUCGACACUGAAAUCUUCUCUUUCUCUUUCUUCAAUUCGGUCUGCUACUCUCUUUCUCGAUCACCGCGGUUAAAUCCAAUUCACAUGGAUUUUCAUCCAAUUCACAUGAUUUCUUCAUCAAUAAAUUUCACAAUCGUUCUUCCUGAAUUUCGACUCAAUCAACAGAAUUGUAUUGGCGAAGAGGAGCACAAAAGAAAACAAAAUUCUCGUAUUUAUAAUCUCCCGAUCCCGGAAAUUUUGAUUGUUAUUUGGUGUACAAAGAAGUUGCAAAAAUGUGUAAUGAAUUAAGUUUGGAAUCUGGAAUGAUGAUUUUGUAUGAGGCAUUUUCAAGAACGAGGAAGAUUAUGGAAGGAUCCCCUAAUGCUAAGUUCAAUAUAGAGGAGUACUAGAGAUUUUACGAGUAUCCAAUUUGGCAUUUUAAAAACAAAAUUGCAUUAGUUGUUUUCCUUUCCUCUCUUGAAUAUUGUCAGCAUCAUCAGUUUCCUGCCUUGUUUCAAAUACAAUAUAACACUCAUGAAUACUAUGAGCUGCUACUUUUAUGUUGUCAUGUAUUUUGAUCUCCUACUAUUAUGAUCGGCUGUUAUUUUUAUCUACUA
Molecule: long non-coding RNA, 714 nt
Organism: Spinacia oleracea (spinach)
Lineage: Eukaryota; Viridiplantae; Streptophyta; Magnoliopsida; Caryophyllales; Amaranthaceae
Exons: 3
Source: RefSeq, a predicted model, not a curated record